RNAcentral lists this ribosomal RNA (443 nucleotides) under uncultured bacterium. RNAcentral describes it as "partial 16S ribosomal RNA". It matches the Rfam family "Bacterial small subunit ribosomal RNA", at positions 338 to 795 of the family's 1533-position model. The record is from RNAcentral.
CCUACUGGUGGCAGCAGUGGGGAAUAUUGGGCAAUGGGCGCAAGCCUGACCCAGCAACGCCGCGUGAAGGAAGAAGGCUUUCGGGUUGUAAACUUCUUUUCUGAGGGACGAAGAAAGUGACGGUACCUCAGGACUAAGCCACGGCUAACUACGUGCCCGCAGCCGCUGUCAUACGUAGGUGGCAAGCGUUCUCCGGAUUUAUUGGGUGUAAAGGGCGUGUAGGCGGGAAAGCAAGUCAGAUGUGAAAACUCAGGGCUCAACCCUGAGCCUGCAUUUGAAACUGUUGGUCUUGAGUGCUGGAGAGGCAAUCGGAAUUCCGUGUGUAGCGGUGAAAUGCGUAGAUAUACGGAGGAACACCAGUGGCGAAGGCGGAUUGCUGGACAGUAACUGACGCUGAGGCGCGAAAGCGUGGGGAGCAAACAGGAUUAGAUACCCUUGUAGUC